RNAcentral lists this ribosomal RNA (253 nucleotides) under uncultured bacterium. Its description in RNAcentral is "partial 16S ribosomal RNA". It matches the Rfam family "Bacterial small subunit ribosomal RNA", at positions 524 to 776 of the family's 1533-position model. The record is from RNAcentral.
UACGGAGGGUGCGAGCGUUGUCCGGAAUCACUGGGCGUAAAGGGCGCGUAGGCGGCCUGAUAAGUCGGGGGUGAAAUCCUGCGGCUUAACCGCAGGGCUGCCUUCUAAACUGUCAGGCUCGAGCACAGUAGAGGCAGGUGGAAUUCCCGGUGUAGCGGUGGAAUGCGUAGAUAUCGGAAGGAACACCAGUGGCGAAAGCGGCUUCCUGGACCAGUACCGACGUUCAGGCACGAAAGCGUGGGGAGCAAACAGG